ACUCAAAUGAAUUGACGGGGACCCGCACAAGCGGUGGAGCAUGUGGUUUAAUUCGACGCAACGCGAAGAACCUUACCAAGGCUUGACAUCCAUAGAAUCCUUAGGAAACUAGGGAGUGCCCUUCGGGGAGCUAUGAGACAGGUGGUGCAUGGUUGUCGUCAGCUCGUGUCGUGAGAUGUUGGGUUAAGUCCCGCAACGAGCGCAACCCCUAUAUUUAGUUGCCAUCAGGUAGAGCUGGGCACUCUAGAUAGACUGCCGGUGACAAACCGGAGGAAGGUGGGGAUGACGUCAAAUCAUCAUGCCCCUUAUGUCUUGGGCUACACACGUGCUACAAUGGCCGGUACAGACGGAAGCGAAGCCGCGAGGUGGAGCGAAUCCGAGAAAGCCGGUCUCAGUUCGGAUUGUUCUCUGCAACUCGAGAACAUGAAGUCGGAAUCGCUAGUAAUCGCAGGUCAGCAUACUGCGGUGAAUACGUUCCCGGGUCUUGUACACACCGCCCGU
Molecule: ribosomal RNA, 501 nt
Filed under: uncultured bacterium
Lineage: Bacteria
Description: bacterial SSU rRNA
Rfam family: Bacterial small subunit ribosomal RNA
Source: RNAcentral